Molecule: RNA transcript, 1812 nt
Organism: Galendromus occidentalis (western predatory mite)
Lineage: Eukaryota; Metazoa; Arthropoda; Arachnida; Mesostigmata; Phytoseiidae
Exons: 7
Source: RefSeq, a predicted model, not a curated record
ACUGUUGCGGAACUCAGAUUUCACGCAGCUUGCAAAAUAGGGAUAAAACGUGUCCAGAGAGAGCUUGCCAGUAGAGCCCCGGGUUUCGGCGGAAGACUCGCGAUGAGGUUGACGUCGACUAGAAGUAGAGUUGUCCACAUUGUGAGUUUGAACUAGAACGCGGGGAAAAGUCGCCGCGAAAGCUGAAAACCUUAUCCCGGGAACCCUAACUCGCCCCGCUGUAGAUACCUCUGGUAUUGAUCCGCGCGAUCCACCCGUACAAUGUCGACAGCUUUGCGUACCUGUUGCAUUCCGGGAUGCAAAUCCAUGGGUUUGAAAGAUGGCGAGAAGCUGUGCGCGUUCCCUCAAGCUCUGGAUAGAAGACAGACGUGGAUCGAGUACAUACGGCAGAGUGGUUGUGUCGCUUCCAAUUGGGAACCUGCCGCGGCGAGCUACGUCUGUCAGAUCCAUUUCGAAGACUCGUGUUUCAUACAAGAGUCUGAGACAGCGCCCCCGAAAAUGGCCAGGGGGGCGAACCCUACAAUUUUCCCGGAGAAAGACUCGGCGCCAAAACCAUGAAAAUACUCCUUUCAGCCCAAUGUGUCCAUCAUCCGAACUCGGAGUGCGGCCGGAAUCCUUCCGAAGCCCAAAAUUGCUUUCGACGCCGGUUUCGACGUGAGAACGCGACGUGAAAGUCCCCAGUCGGGUCACACUUUCAAGCCGGUCAUAACUCGAGCAACUGGCGAAGUUCGUCCAAGCAUAGGUGAGCCUCGUAUGCAUCUAAUUCCUCCGAAAACAACCUCGGUUGUUGUGAUCGCCACCGAUCAGCCGAAGCUCGCGAUGAAGAGGAUGCUGCCGAAUGUCAGCAUCGCUCCUCCGAAGAAAAUCAACAUGACUUCGUGCGGAAAUUGUCUACAAAUGCAAGAGAAACUCAAUCAGAAGUCCACAGUCAUUCGUGAUCUCGAAGUGAAAAUCGCUGAUCUCAAGCAAGAGCUCAACCAACAAGACAGUACUCGGGCGGCUGCCGCGAGUAAAAUCGAACGCUUGAAAGAGAGUCUCAAGGAGAUAUACACGAAGCACCAGAUGGCUCGAUUGACCGACGGAACAACCAGGGGACGUCCCUGGGACAUGGAGACCGUCCGCCGAGCUGCCAAGCUAGUUCUAGCCUGCGGCAGAAACGGCUAUCAAGAGAUUCUGAAUCAGGGUCAGCCGUUCCCAUCGCUCAAAACACUGAACCGGCUCCUGUACAAACGUCGAUAUUUGAGCUCCACCCUCGACAAUCCGGAUCCUCAGAUCGCUUCGGAGCUCCGCGAGGAAAUGUCCGAAACGGAUCCAGAAGACGAGAGCGAAGGCAGUGCGGAGGAAAUAGAGGAGAACAUCGUGGCUGGUGAAGAGGGACGGAUCCUGAAGAAGAGCAGAAAAACAAGGAAGAGCCGGAAUUCCCUUCAGAAAUGCAAUGAAGCUUUCCAGGACAUCCAGUCGGCUCAAGCAGUACAUGGCCUCGACGCGUCUGAAGCCGCAGUUCUCGAAGAGGUCGAAGGAAUUACCGAAGGGCAACUCUUGCUGCAACACAUCGAUCCUCUCGGCGACAUCGUCGAAGCCGAUGCUCAGGCUCUGGCGUCUCAAUAUGGUCAACUAACGGUCAUACAGGAUAGCUCAGGCGCGCCCGCUCUCUCUGGCGAAGUAAUCGAAGACAUUCUGAGGGCUCAAAAUCUCACGGCAGCGGAAGUGAAGGAGAUCCGAGUAGAAGGCUCUUACAUCACAAUUGUGAAACACCAAGAGAACCCGCUGCAGGAAGACGACGGUCUCAUGUCCCAGGACAUCAUCAGUUGA